RNAcentral lists this long non-coding RNA (551 nucleotides) under Medicago truncatula (barrel medic). RNAcentral describes it as "lncRNA gene561". The record is from RNAcentral. Lineage: Eukaryota; Viridiplantae; Streptophyta; Magnoliopsida; Fabales; Fabaceae.
CUCGUGUUUUCUUUUCAUUUUCUUCUUAGACUUCUCCCCAGAUCUCUCUUCUGCGUCUUCAUUCUUCCUCUUCUUCCUUUGCUCCGUCUUUUCCUCUCCAGCAUGUAAUUUAUUCUCACUCCCAGCUUCAUGCUUCUUUUUCGACCUAAUUUCUACAUCCUGAGAACCAACUAGCCCUCCACUUUCACUCUUCACACCAUUGCUUAGUUUUUUCUCCACCUCUUUAUGUUGUUCUUGUCCCUUCACAUUUCCAACUUCUAAACUCUUCUCCUUUUUACUCCCCGCUUCAUUUCUCCUUUUCGACCUAAUUUCUAACUCCUGAGGAGGAACUAUCCCUCCACUUUCAACCUUCACAUUCUCACCUUCUACACUCUUUUCCUUCUUCUUGUUCUUUUUCUCGCUCUUUUGCUUCUUUCCCUCCGUUCUUCCUUCAUCACCCUGAUUUAACUCACUUCCAUUCUUCUUUACGCUCUCUCCAAAUUCAAGUUUCUUCUUUCCAUCUUUCUUAUCACGCUUCUCACUUCUACCCACGACAGAACCAACAACUUCUC